UACGUAGGGUGCGAGCGUUAAUCGGAUUUACUGGGCGUAAAGCGUGCGCAGGCAGCCCGUUAAGACAGGUGUGAAAUCCCUGGGCUCAACCUAGGAAUUGCGCUUGUGACUGGCGGGCUCGAGUACGGUAGAGGGGGGUGGAAUUCCUGGUGUAGCAGUGAAAUGCGUAGAGAUCAGGAGGAACACCGAUGGCGAAGGCAGCCCCCUGGGCCUGUACUGACGCUCAUGCACGAAAGCGUGGGGAGCAAACAGG
This 253-nucleotide ribosomal RNA is filed under the name uncultured microorganism. RNAcentral's name for it is "partial 16S ribosomal RNA". It matches the Rfam family "Bacterial small subunit ribosomal RNA", at positions 524 to 776 of the family's 1533-position model. The record is from RNAcentral.